Molecule: long non-coding RNA, 1954 nt
Filed under: Daucus carota (carrot)
Lineage: Eukaryota; Viridiplantae; Streptophyta; Magnoliopsida; Apiales; Apiaceae
Description: long non-coding RNA (DCAR_LNC003727)
Source: RNAcentral
AAGAACAUAAAACAAAAGUAUAAGAACUAAACUUAAUAUAAAUUAAACUAAUCCAUUGGCUUAUUUUGGUCAAAAGAAACAGAGAAACAAGAAAAUAUAAAAAGAAGAAUGGAAUAACGACAAAUGUUAGAGCAGUCCAACACUAUAACAUUCUAACAAGGCUAUUACUUGAGCAAAACGGAUGUUUGCACAUUUGAACUAUCAUGAACCAUUGUUCAAAAAUUUCAUUCCUUCCCCUAUUUCAUUCCUUACAUCCAAUACUAGAGUUCACAUUCCCAUUUUGAAAAGGAAUGGUCCAUUCCCACCUAUAUCCAAUUUGUUCUCAAAUCCCAUCAUAACAAUUUUGCACUUAUUUAUUUUAUUUUCAAAACUCCCUCUUACCUCUUAUAUUUUCUUUUGUGUUUGCUCAUUCCAUUCCAUUCUUACCAACCAAACACAACAUUAGUAUUCAAAAUGCAUCAACAUGUACGGACAAGGUUGUUCUAAUAAUUUCUUUUUAAAAAAAGGUUUGGAACUACGGAAUAGAUGUCCUAAAUAUUCAACAUUCAUAAAGGGUACUUCAAAAUAUAAAUUCAAGGACAAAAUAGUCAGAGUACAAACAUGCCAAUUAUUCUCUUUUCAAAACAUAGGCAUAUCAAAACCGCGCCAAAAUUCCGGAUAAUUUAAGGAAUACCUUAAUCCGAAGUCGAAUUACCAAUCUAAACUUGAUUCGACUUCUAAACAAUGCUAAUUAAAUUCAUUUAUGUUCAACAUCAAAUCUGAAAUGUCCAAGUAAAAAGAAGAUAAAUCUGACCACACCACAUGUAACACCCCCAUCUUAAAUUAAGACGAGAGGUUACCUACAAAUCCAAAAUCUGCAAACAGAGUACUAAUAUGUUCCAAACUUGAGUAAAUAGAAUCACUAACCAUAAANCUAAUCUAUUAAUAUUAAUCUNUUAUAAUCCAAUUUUAAUCCCCUUUUUAUUAAUACUAAUCUAUUAAUGUUAUUCUAAAAAUUACUGGAUAUUACAUUCUACCCUCCUUAAAAAGAAUUUGGUCCCCAAAUUCUCCCAAACCUACUCUCCAAACCCAUUUAAAACAAGACACAUAACUAAUAAUUCCCCUCUCUUAAUCAUUAUUAUUCUAUUAUUAUUAAAACUAUGUAUAUUAUAUAUAUAUACCCCCUUAAAAAGGAUUCCGUCCCCGGAAUCUAACGAAACUAAAACUCGUACUGAAACCGAAUAAGUGCGAACCUCUCACACGAAUUGAAUCUCUCCCGUCCCCGGAAUCUAACGAAACUAAAACUCGUACCUGAAUCGAAUAAGUGCGGACAUCUCACACGAAUUGAAUCUCUAAUUUCCAAGUAAACUCCUAUUCCGAUUAUCCUUCCAUAAAAGUCGAAACAACAAAUAAAAUACAUUUGAACAGAAUACCCAUCCUAAUGCGGGUCUACCCACUCUCACAGGUCAACCUAAAUAGGUCUUCUACAGGAAAGAACCUAAGCUCUGAUACCACUUUGUAACACCCCCAUCUUAAAUUAAGACGAGAGGUUACCUACAAAUCCAAAAUCUGCAAACAGAGUACUAAUAUGUUCCAAACUUGAGUAAAUAGAAUCACUAACCAUAAAUUCUUAAUAACACUAAAAGUCCAUCAUCCUAGUUCAAUUUUAAAUCCUAAUUAUAAUCCAAUUUUAAUCCCCUUUUUAUUAAUACUAAUCUAUUAAUGUUAUUCUAAAAAUUACUGGAUAUUACACCACAACAUACAUAAAUCGUUCAUACCUGAUGAGACCGGACUAACUCAACUGGAAACACAAAAAAUGUCAAAAUUACAGCUUAAAACAAUAAGAAAUUCCGCAUACAUCAAAAUAGUCAAAAAUACAGUUCAAUAUACAGCAUACAGUUCGAACCAAAACAGAUAGAUUGAUAUAUUAAUUGGCUAGAGACAAGAUAAGAAAAAACCAAAAACAGAGAGAGAG